This 375-nucleotide ribosomal RNA is filed under the name uncultured organism. RNAcentral describes it as "partial 16S ribosomal RNA". It matches the Rfam family "Bacterial small subunit ribosomal RNA", at positions 527 to 896 of the family's 1533-position model. The record is from RNAcentral.
GUAGGUGGCAAGCGUUGUCCGGAAUUAUUGGGCGUAAAGCGCGCGCAGGCGGUCCUUUAAGUCUGAUGUGAAAGCCCACGGCUCAACCGUGGAGGGUCAUUGGAAACUGGGGGACUUGAGUACAGAAGAGGAAAGCGGAAUUCCAAGUGUAGCGGUGAAAUGCGUAGAGAUUCGGAGGAACACCAGUGGCGAAGGCGGCUUUCUGGUCUGUAACUGACGCUGAGGCGCGAAAGCGUGGGGAGCAAACAGGAUUAGAUACCCUGGUAGUCCACGCCGUAAACGAUGAGUGCUAAGUGUUAGGGGGUUUCCCGCCCCCCUUAGUGCUGCAGCUAACGCAUUAAGCACUCCGCCUGGGGGAGUACGGCCGCAAGGCUG